This 330-nucleotide ribosomal RNA is filed under the name uncultured bacterium. RNAcentral's name for it is "bacterial SSU rRNA". It matches the Rfam family "Bacterial small subunit ribosomal RNA", at positions 568 to 898 of the family's 1533-position model. The record is from RNAcentral.
UGCGUAGGCGGCUCGAUAAGUAUGGUGUGAAAUCUCCCGGCUUAACUGGGAGGGUGCGCUAUAGACUGCCGGGCUAGAGUGUGGGAGAGGAAAGUGGAAUUCCUGGUGUAGCGGUGAAAUGCGUAGAUAUCAGGAGGAACACCGGUGGUGUAAACGGCUUUCUGGACCAUAACUGACGCUGAGGCACGAAAGCGUGGGUAGCAAACAGGAUUAGAUACCCUGGUAGUCCACGCCCUAAACGAUGCAUAUUUGGUGUGGGUCAUUCAGUUGAUCCGUGCCGGAGCUAACGCGUUAAAUAUGCCGCCUGGGGAGUACAGUCGCAAGGCUGAA